GGUGAGGUAACCGCAAGGGGCCAGCCGCCGAAGGUGGGGUAGAUGAUUGGGGUGAAGUCGUAACAAGGUAGCCGUAUCGGAAGGUGCGGCUGGAUCACCUCCUUUCUAUGGAG
Molecule: ribosomal RNA, 113 nt
Filed under: Paenibacillus ginsengarvi
Lineage: Bacteria; Bacillati; Bacillota; Bacilli; Caryophanales; Paenibacillaceae
Description: partial 16S ribosomal RNA
Rfam family: Bacterial small subunit ribosomal RNA
Source: RNAcentral